Long non-coding RNA from Triticum dicoccoides, 601 nucleotides. RefSeq lists it as uncharacterized. The record is from RefSeq and is a predicted model, not a curated record. The transcript has 3 exons. NCBI's taxonomy places the organism in Eukaryota, Viridiplantae, Streptophyta, Magnoliopsida, Poales, Poaceae.
GUACCCGGGGUUUGACGGCCCAACCCUCCCGAUUCCCCGUUGAUCCAUCAGUUUCCAGGCGCUACAGAACCCUCGAGGCCCCCCUCCAGGAUUUGCCCGACUCACGCCGCCGCCUGACCCGACCGCCGACUCCUCCCUAAGACGCCGCGCCGCCUCGACGCCGGCGAUCUCCUCCGGCAUACUGGACUUCUCCCCGGUGAUUGGAGCAAGAAGACUGAUGUGAAAAGGGAGACAUCGCCUGGCAUGAUCAAAAAGGAGAUUUUGCGUGUAGAAGUAGAGCUGAUGAAGUGAAGUGUACCAGCUAAUUCCUAUGUUGGUUCUCAGUCACCAAAAGAAGCAACAAUAAACAACCUGGAUGGAUAAAUUUCUCUCGGGUUCUCAAAGCUAGAUGAUCAUGACACCACAAGAUGGAUACAUGUGUCUGCACGUUGUUGAAAUGAACUAUUGUUGUCGUAAUGAAUUGUUGUUGUCGAAGAUCACGUUGUUUGAUAAAUUAUGAUUGCUGAGAUUUGAGAUUCGAAGUCACGCUGUUAUGAUAAAUUAUGUUCUUGCUGUGAUGAGAUAUUGAUUUCAAAUCGUGCAAAAUUAUGUUGCUUCUAAA